CCUAGUACGGCGAGUGAAGCGGCAACAGCUCAAAUUUGAAAGCUAGGCCUUCGGGUUCGCAUUGUAAUUUGUAGAGGAUGAUUUGGGGAAGCCGCCUGUCUAAGUUCCUUGGAACAGGACGUCAUAGAGGGUGAGAAUCCCGUAUGUGACAGGAAAUGGCACCCUAUGUAAAUCUCCUUCGACGAGUCGAGUUGUUUGGGAAU
RNAcentral lists this ribosomal RNA (203 nucleotides) under Aureobasidium pullulans. RNAcentral describes it as "partial 26S ribosomal RNA". It matches the Rfam family "Eukaryotic large subunit ribosomal RNA", at positions 79 to 281 of the family's 3401-position model. Lineage: Eukaryota; Fungi; Ascomycota; Dothideomycetes; Dothideales; Saccotheciaceae. The record is from RNAcentral.